RNAcentral lists this long non-coding RNA (341 nucleotides) under Vigna radiata. Its description in RNAcentral is "long non-coding RNA (VRAD_LNC004498)". The record is from RNAcentral. Lineage: Eukaryota; Viridiplantae; Streptophyta; Magnoliopsida; Fabales; Fabaceae.
UUUGCGACGAUUGUGACUUAUAUGCAUUGUCUCACCAUCUCGCAAAAACGAGAGGAUUUGCGAUGAUUUAAUCGGAAAAGACUCAUCUACCCUCUGUUGUUUCACGAGAGAACUGUUCUUUUGCAUUGCCAUGUGAUUCUGCAUUGCCAUGCGAUGAUGAAGACGAAGGAGGAGGCCGAUGACGCCNGCNGAAGAAGAAGACGAAGCUUGAUGAUGAAGAUGGCGUGAAUGUGGUGCAGGUAUCCGGAUACACUGUUGCUGUAUCCGGAUACAGUUUUGUUCAGAAAAUGGAAAAGAAGCGUAUCCAGAUACAGUUUUGUUCAGAAAAUGGAAAAGAAGCG